Non-coding RNA from Annulohypoxylon truncatum, 94 nucleotides. Lineage: Eukaryota; Fungi; Ascomycota; Sordariomycetes; Xylariales; Hypoxylaceae. The record is from the annotation of a RefSeq genome assembly.
GGGCUUGUGGUUUAGUGGUAUAAUACUCCCUUAGCACUUGUUAGAAUGCAACCCUGCCUGGGAGUGGUCCGGGGUUCGAUUCCCCGCGAGUCCA